CGUGACUUUCACCUCAAUUUCUUUUUGGAAAGGCUACAACAUUUUGAAGGAACUUCCUCUCUUUGAAACACCUAUCAUUUUUCUUUUCCCUUUGUUCACAGGGCAGAUACUCUCGGAAUCCACCACACAAAUAAUACAAAUAGCAGCUGGGAGUAGGCAGGGUCAGCCUCAGAGCUGAGGUGCAGAACCAACGUCCUAACCGUGACAAGUGGGCAGCACAGGAAAGCCGCAGCCAGGGAGGCAGGGGGUGUCUGGAACAGGGGGAAAGAAAAGCCACCGCCUUACACCCAACAGCCAUCUCAACACGGACCUAAACAUACCUUAUUUCAAUAAAAAUGUGCAAAAAUGAAAACUACGCUUCUCCAGUAAGCCCAGACUGGGACUCGGCCUCUUUCUCAACUCGAUGCUCCAGGCAGCCAGGCUUCUUAGUCACCAAGCAUUUCAAGUGAAAUGAUUCCCUGAAUUCCUGGGGAGGGCGGGGGGGGGGGGGGGGGAUCAACCUAAUUCUUUGGCUUUUUUCCUAAAGAAAAAAAAAAGUCACGCAGAGCGCCUACAGCUUUACAACCAAAUUUCUCACAUCUUUCCUAUUUACUUCACAGCAUUUAUUUUUCAGAGAAUUUUCACCCAAGACAUCCAUUUUUUCCUUAGUUCACUUCUAGAACUCCAUCACUGAGAGAAGGUGGCUCGCCAGCUCUUCCUCAAAGGACCCCAGCACUGUGGUGGAACCACAAGGCCCCGUGCGGUCCUGCGAGGUCCUCUAGCACCGCCUCGGUGCCCAGCACUGCUCUGAGCGCUUGCAUGUGUCAACGCAGGUAGCCCCCACUAAGGGAGGGCCUGGCACUAUCCUCGUUUCACAGGUGAGCUCACUAAGCUAAAAAGUGGCUCAGGAGCUUUCUGGGCCCCACAGCCCAGGGGGAUGCUCCGGAUUCCCACCCCCAUGGGCUCACGCAGCUUCCAGCCAGCACCACGGGCCACGGCCCCACCAGCAUGACCACCUUCAGGCCCGUCUCCUGAGGGCAGAGCUUUGGCCAAGACCUGAGGAAGCAGAGAGGGAGGCGUUCAGCCUUGCCUCCCUCCACCUCCGCCGGCCAGAUCAACAGUGAGGCUGGGGGGGGACGGGCUCAUGUGGCCAGAUCAACAGUGAGGCUUGGGGGGACGGGCUCGUGUGGCCAGAUCAACAGUGAGGCUGGAGGGGACGGGCUCAUGUGGCCAGAUCAACAGUGAGGCUGGGGGGGGACGGGCUCAUGUGGCCAGAUCAACAGUGAGGCUGGGGGGGACGGGCUCAUGUGGCCAGAUCAACAGUGAGGCUGGAGGGGACGGGCUCAUGUGGCCAGAUCAACAGUGAGGCUGGAGGGGACGGGCUCAUGUGGCCUGUAGCGAGUCUACCAACACCUAGAACUGAUUCACCCACAAGAGGGUAGCUGGGAGGUGGAUGGGGUCACAAGAAGACUUUUCACUGUCUGCCCUUGGAUGUUGGGAAUUUACUUUUUCCAUGUAUAUCCAUUACCUAUGCAAGUAAAUCAUUUCAUAAGGGCCCCCCAUGGUCCACUUCCCUCCAUAUGCUUAAGACUCAUCAUCUUUCUAUACAGGGCCACCUGCCACCCCACACAGGGCUGUGAGAGAACCACGUCCACUGACAACUGCAGAGCCACGGGGGGCAAAGGAGAGCUUCAGCAAGAAAAAGCACCAGGGUGGGGUGGGCAGGGGAGUUUUCAAAACUCUACCCGAGUUUCAAGCCACCAGAUUUAAUUUUUACACAAGAAACAAAUGUAAUGAGCAUUCAGUGAGUAAAAAGAAACACUAUGGUGGACUCUGGAAACAGACAACAGGUAACUGAGAUGAUCCUGCUCGGGGGGCAAGCAACUGGACACCACAGCCCAAUGGGUGACAGACAGACCACCACCAGGCAGAACCCGCUGGGUGCUAUGAAUAUGCAGAGUGAAUGCCAGGGAUGGUUUCCUCCCGGAUUCCUUAGAAUGGUCUUAAAUUUAGCAUAUCUACAAAAGGGAACUUACCCUCCCCCACUCCUUCCUUACC
Molecule: long non-coding RNA, 2037 nt
Organism: Equus asinus (donkey)
Lineage: Eukaryota; Metazoa; Chordata; Mammalia; Perissodactyla; Equidae
Source: Ensembl